This is a long non-coding RNA of Amaranthus tricolor (Joseph's coat), 531 nucleotides long. RefSeq lists it as uncharacterized. The record is from RefSeq and is a predicted model, not a curated record. The transcript has 3 exons. NCBI's taxonomy places the organism in Eukaryota, Viridiplantae, Streptophyta, Magnoliopsida, Caryophyllales, Amaranthaceae.
UUAGUAGUUUAUGUCAAAGGGAGGAAAAAAAAAAAGAAAUAAGAUAAGAGAAGAUAUUAGAAGCAGCCUUAUCAUUCACUCUUUUAUAAAAUUGUCUCUAAAUUCUCAACAUCAUCAUCCCUUCCAUUCUCUGCCUUCUAUUUUCAUGGUUAUUUUACGCCUUCACAAUUAAUCUCACCAUCUUAGAAAAUUUCUUCAAUCAACAAAGAAAGGGACCCAAAUAAAUUAGGUUUUCGGUGCGUUUUGGGGCGUUUGGGGCUACUUCAAGAAGCGAUUUUCCCAAGCUUUGAUAGUUUUUAACCUUCUUUGGUGUGGAUACCGAUUUCAUUGAGGAGCCGUAUUGAUUGUGCUAGUUGGUUUGCUGUAAUUUAAAAGGUACCUAAAGGUUAGAAUCGGGGUACGGGCAAAGAGCUACGUCCAUUCAUUUUGUGUAUAUAGUUAUAAUAUUUCUUUUCGCCUUAGUUUUAUGUAUAAUUAAUAUUUUAAAACUUAAAGGUGUAGAUAUUAAUCAGCGCAAAAUAUUUUCGGUUA